GUGAAGUUUCAUCUUACUUUUAAUCAAGAUUUUGAUCAACCUUAAUUUUUUGGUCUUUUGUAGAGAUUGAGCUGGUCUUAGAAUCUGCCAUCUUCAAUCAAGGCACUCUGAGAGUAAUUAUGGGAAGUUGCAAACACUUGGUUGGGAAAAGUGUAGCUGAACUAAUAAAGCGGUAUACAUUCACUAGCUACAAUGAUAUAUCUAAAGUAGAUAUAGAUAGAACAUUGGAGAAGGAUCUUCAUGGCAUUGCUCUUGUGGAUUUCGUUAACUCGAUUUGACGUCAAAUUAUUCCUUUAGUAGAUGGCUCAGUUUAUGUGGAUGUUCCUUCUGCACUUCUGUUGCUCUUGAUAUAUCCAUGAGUGUUUGCUACUAUAA
Lolium rigidum is the source of this 375-nucleotide long non-coding RNA. RefSeq lists it as uncharacterized. The transcript has 2 exons. The record is from RefSeq and is a predicted model, not a curated record. NCBI's taxonomy places the organism in Eukaryota, Viridiplantae, Streptophyta, Magnoliopsida, Poales, Poaceae.